This 1283-nucleotide long non-coding RNA is filed under the name Lactuca sativa (garden lettuce). RNAcentral describes it as "long non-coding RNA (LSAT_LNC008241)". Lineage: Eukaryota; Viridiplantae; Streptophyta; Magnoliopsida; Asterales; Asteraceae. The record is from RNAcentral.
CCCAUUUUAGUCCAAUCACAUUAAGUUUUUGCUGAUCUUUAUCACAUUAAGUUUCUCACUCAUCAAAAUCUGAAUUCAAAAUAAAACACCACCAUCCAUUAUGAACCAAAAGAAUUAUAACACAUAAAGGUGUAUACAACUAGACUAGGAAUUAAAAAACAAUUAAUAAAUGUAAACUCAAUGAGAGAUGCACGAGGGACUGAUAGCGUUGUGUGUUGCUUGCAUUAGAAAAAAAGGAGGCGAUCAGAAAAUACUACACUUAUAUUUUUUUUUUUUUUGUCUUUGAAGGCUCAAGCUCAUAAUUUCCUUGAUUUGUAUUUUAUACAAUGAUGAUAUUACUAUAAUAUCCUCAAUCAAGAGAAAAAAGGCAACCUACCUCAGCAAGUUUAAAGAGCUUAGACAUUGUAUCAAGAGUGGCACAUUGUCGUGAAUAAUCCAGGAAUAUGCCAUCAAACUCGUUGCAUAAACCCCAAAUGAAAAGAAAUCAUCACCCUCUUAGCUCUAAAAGUUAAUAAUCAAUGAAGAAUCACAUAGUUCUUAUCUAUAAAGAACAGAUGGAGUAAUUUACAACUAGAGAUGACAAUUCUUUAAAAUAUUCAAGUAAACUUUUUAAUCUAACAGAUUCCAAAAAGACCCAACAAUCAGAACGUAUGAUCCACAAUCAAUAACAUUAUUCCAAAAUAAUCCCAACAAUCAGAAAGUGCGAUUCCAUUUAAUAGAUUGACAAUCGAUUUUUUCAGAACGAAAACUAAAAGAUGUGAAACUGAGGAGGGAACUAUACCUGUAAACAAGUCAAAUGACUCAUAGGAGGGAACAGUACAUGUAAACCAGUUAAGCAAACAAAAAGUGUGAUGUUAAGCAGUUUAGAAAGGAAGAACGAGAACGAGAAACGAAUUCCACCUUCUAGACGAGAAGCGGACCUACGAACCUGCAGUUGGUUCUUUUCAGCAACAGUAUUUGAUUAAUGGGAAGCUGAUUGGAGUUGGUGUGAUUGAUAUUCUUCUUCCUAAAUGUUAAUCCAGUAAAUAAAUUGGGUGAGAGAGAAACAAGAGCUGCAUGCAGAGUAGAAGUAACAAAUGAUUUUUGAAACAUCGGUGAUUUCGGAAACAAAACACGAGCAAGAGGUCAGAACAUACCUUAUCGAACAGAGAUGCAUAGCGCAACGAGAACUGCAGGCAGAGGUGCUGACCUGUUGCGUCUGGUGCUUUACUUAGUUGUUGACAAUUGCUUUUAAAUGAAGUAUGAACGAGAACGACAGAGAAAUGAUAAUGGAAAAAACAAAC